CGGAUGCAGCGUGGCGAUUUGUACACCGGAUUGCGGGCCACGUUAAACAUGCCGCUAAAGAGGUCGGGAUGUUUCCCCG
Molecule: non-coding RNA, 79 nt
Filed under: Palleronia salina
Lineage: Bacteria; Pseudomonadati; Pseudomonadota; Alphaproteobacteria; Rhodobacterales; Roseobacteraceae
Source: RNAcentral